This 419-nucleotide long non-coding RNA is filed under the name Selaginella moellendorffii. RNAcentral's name for it is "long non-coding RNA (SMOE_LNC002334)". The record is from RNAcentral. Lineage: Eukaryota; Viridiplantae; Streptophyta; Lycopodiopsida; Selaginellales; Selaginellaceae.
GGAAAUUUGUACUCGUACGGUGGUGGAGAUUUCUCACAUUUUGGUGGUGGUGGUGGAGAUUUGCACUCGUAUGGAGGUGGUGGUGGUGGAGAUUUCUCAAAUUUUGGUGGUGGUCGUGGAGAUUUGUACUCGUAUGGAGGUGGAGACUUCUCGCAUUUUGGUGGUGGUGGUGGUGGUGGUGGGGAUUUGUAGCAGUAAGGAGGUGCAUUAGGAGGGCAUAAACGAUUUGGAAACCACCAGGGCCUUCUCAGCCAUGGCCUCCAACAGAAGAAAUCGAUCGUGCUCUUGGGAAUUCCAAAGCCAAAGUUCUUGGCAUCCCCCCUGCAUUUCGAUCCAAAACCUCCUGAAAUCCAUCAGACCUGACAGCAGAAACCAGGAGAAGCAGCAAAAGCAUGCUGCAUGACUUGAAGAAAUUCAUC